Molecule: ribosomal RNA, 404 nt
Filed under: Actinomycetes bacterium
Lineage: Bacteria; Bacillati; Actinomycetota; Actinomycetes
Description: Actinobacteria bacterium partial 16S ribosomal RNA
Rfam family: Bacterial small subunit ribosomal RNA
Source: RNAcentral
UGGGGAAUAUUGGACAAUGGGCGCAAGCCUGAUCCAGCCAUGCCGCGUGAGUGAUGAAGGCCCUAGGGUUGUAAAGCUCUUUCACCGGUGAAGAUAAUGACGGUAACCGGAGAAGAAGCCCCGGCUAACUUCGUGCCAGCAGCCGCGGUAAUACGAAGGGGGCUAGCGUUGUUCGGAUUUACUGGGCGUAAAGCGCACGUAGGCGGACUAUUAAGUCAGGGGUGAAAUCCCGGGGCUAAACCCCGGAACUGCCUUUGAUACUGGUAGUCUUGAGUUCGGGAGGGGUGGGGGGAAUUCCGAGUGUAGGGGUGAAAUUCGUAGGUAUUCGGAGGAACACCAGUGGCGAAGGCGGCUCACUGGCUCGAUACUGACGCUAAGGUGCGAAAGCGUGGGGAGCAAACAGG